GUCUACGGCCAUACCACCCUGAACGUGCCCCAUCUCGUCUGAUCUUGGAAGCUAAGCAGGGUUGGGCCUGGUUAGUACUUGGAUGGGAGACAAAUAAGCAUAUGAAAAGAUGUUUCCU
Molecule: ribosomal RNA, 118 nt
Organism: Vulpes vulpes (red fox)
Lineage: Eukaryota; Metazoa; Chordata; Mammalia; Carnivora; Canidae
Source: Ensembl